GACGAACGCUGGCGGCGUGCCUAACACAUGCAAGUCUACUCAGCAAUGGGUGGCGAACGGGUGAGUAACGCGUAGAUAAUCUACCCUUUAAUCAUGGAUAACCUAGUGAAAACUGGACUAAUACAGGAUGUGAUCUUAGACCGGCAUCGGUUUGGGAUUAAAGACUACGGGUCGUUAAAGGAUGAGUCUGCGUAUCAUUAGCUAGUUGGCGGGGUAACGGCCCACCAAGGCUACGAUGAUUAGCUGGUCUGAGAGGAUGAUCAGCCACACUGGGACUGAGAUACGGCCCAGACUCCUACGGGAGGCAGCAGUGAGGAAUAUUGCGCAAUGGGGGAAACCCUGACGCAGCAACGCCGCGUGUACGACGAAUCAGUUUAUCUGUGUAAAGUACUGUUAACCGGGACGAAAAGACGUAUGAUCUACGUUUAUAU
This 431-nucleotide ribosomal RNA is filed under the name uncultured bacterium. Its description in RNAcentral is "bacterial SSU rRNA". It matches the Rfam family "Bacterial small subunit ribosomal RNA", at positions 28 to 473 of the family's 1533-position model. The record is from RNAcentral.